Molecule: ribosomal RNA, 403 nt
Filed under: Salmonella enterica
Lineage: Bacteria; Pseudomonadati; Pseudomonadota; Gammaproteobacteria; Enterobacterales; Enterobacteriaceae
Description: bacterial SSU rRNA
Rfam family: Bacterial small subunit ribosomal RNA
Source: RNAcentral
UGGAACUGAGACACGGUCCAGACUCCUACGGGAGGCAGCAGUGGGGAAUAUUGCACAAUGGGCGCAAGCCUGAUGCAGCCAUGCCGCGUGUAUGAAGAAGGCCUUCGGGUUGUAAAGUACUUUCAGCGGGGAGGAAGGUGUUGUGGUUAAUAACCGCAGCAAUUGACGUUACCCGCAGAAGAAGCACCGGCUAACUCCGUGCCAGCAGCCGCGGUAAUACGGAGGGUGCAAGCGUUAAUCGGAAUUACUGGGCGUAAAGCGCACGCAGGCGGUCUGUCAAGUCGGAUGUGAAAUCCCCGGGCUCAACCUGGGAACUGCAUUCGAAACUGGCAGGCUUGAGUCUUGUAGAGGGGGGUAGAAUUCCAGGUGUAGCGGUGAAAUGCGUAGAGAUCUGGAGGAAUAC